AUGCGAGUUGAUGGGAUACCUAAAGUUCCCAUGGCAAACUGCUCAGUAACACAUGAUCAACUUGCCCUAUAGAGAAAAAUAACCUCGGGAAACUGAGGAUAAUGUUUCGUAGUUGAAUAGGCUUGGAAAAGUUUUUCAAUAAAAGGGAUAAAAUAAAUGGUUUUUAUCUGCUAUAGGAUAGGAUCGUGUUCGAUUAUGGUUGUUGGUGAGGUAAUGGCUCACCAAGCCGAUAAUCGAUAGGGGCCGUGAGAGCGGGAGCCCCGAGAUGGGUACUGAGACAACGACCCAGGCCUUACGAGGCGCAGCAGGCGCGAAACCUCCGCAAUACACGAAAGUGUGACGGGGUUACCCAAAGUGUUCAAUUUUGAACUGUGGUAGGUGAGUAAUGUUCCCUACUAGAAAGGAGAGGGCAAGGCUGGUGCCAGCCGCCGCGGUAAAACCAGCUCUUCAAGUGGUCGGGAUAAUUAUUGGGCUUAAAGUGUCCGUAGCCGGUUUAGUAAGUUCCUGGUAAAAUCGGGUAGCUUAACUAUCUAUAUGCUAGGAAUACUACUAUACUAGAGGGCGGGAGAGGUCUGAGGUACUACAGGGGUAGGGGUGAAAUCUUAUAAUCCUUGUAGGACCACCAGUGGCGAAGGCGUCAGACUGGAACGCGCCUGACGGUGAGGGACGAAAGCCAGGGGAGCGAACCGGAUUAGAUACCCGGGUAGUCCUGGCCGUAAACGAUGCAUACUAGGUGAUGGCACGGCCAUGAGCCGUGUCAGUGCCGUAGGGAAACCGUUAAGUGUGCCGCCUGGGAAGUACGGUCGCAAGGCU
This 813-nucleotide ribosomal RNA is filed under the name uncultured archaeon. RNAcentral describes it as "bacterial SSU rRNA". It matches the Rfam family "Archaeal small subunit ribosomal RNA", at positions 51 to 850 of the family's 1478-position model. The record is from RNAcentral.